Molecule: ribosomal RNA, 752 nt
Filed under: Bacillus mycoides
Lineage: Bacteria; Bacillati; Bacillota; Bacilli; Caryophanales; Bacillaceae
Description: bacterial SSU rRNA
Rfam family: Bacterial small subunit ribosomal RNA
Source: RNAcentral
CCUAAUACAUGCAGUCGAGCGAAUGGAUUAAGAGCUUGCUCUUAUGAAGUUAGCGGCGGACGGGUGAGUAACACGUGGGUAACCUGCCCAUAAGACUGGGAUAACUCCGGGAAACCGGGGCUAAUACCGGAUAACAUUUUGCACCGCAGGUGCGAAAUUGAAAGGCGGCUUCGGCUGUCACUUAUGGAUGGACCCGCGUCGCAUAGCUAGUUGGUGAGGUAACGGCUCACCAAGGCAACGAUGCGUAGCCGACCUGAGAGGGUGAUCGGCCACACUGGGACUGAGACACGGCCCAGACUCCUACGGGAGGCAGCAGUAGGGAAUCUUCCGCAAUGGACGAAAGUCUGACGGAGCAACGCCGCGUGAGUGAUGAAGGCUUUCGGGUCGUAAAACUCUGUUGUUAGGGAAGAACAAGUGCUAGUUGAAUAAGCUGGCACCUUGACGGUACCUAACCAGAAAGCCACGGCUAACUACGUGCCAGCAGCCGCGGUAAUACGUAGGUGGCAAGCGUUAUCCGGAAUUAUUGGGCGUAAAGCGCGCGCAGGUGGUUUCUUAAGUCUGAUGUGAAAGCCCACGGCUCAACCGUGGAGGGUCAUUGGAAACUGGGAGACUUGAGUGCAGAAGAGGAAAGUGGAAUUCCAUGUGUAGCGGUGAAAUGCGUAGAGAUAUGGAGGAACACCAGUGGCGAAGGCGACUUUCUGGUCUGUAACUGACACUGAGGCGCGAAAGCGUGGGGAGCAAACAGGAUUAGU